Molecule: long non-coding RNA, 531 nt
Filed under: Elaeis guineensis (African oil palm)
Lineage: Eukaryota; Viridiplantae; Streptophyta; Magnoliopsida; Arecales; Arecaceae
Description: long non-coding RNA (EGUI_LNC013735)
Source: RNAcentral
GGACAAUCUUUCUUUUUUCAUCUAUUCUCACCGUAACUUUUUAAACUAAACAGUCGAUAGAGACCAUCCAUCUUCGCAAUCUCACCCAUCCACUCUCUCAUGACCACAACCAAAUAUAGGAUAAAUGUUUAAUGGUGUAACCGUGUAUUAGUUUAAAAUCUAAUCUUUGAGAGAGGAGGAAAAUGGAGUGCUGUGGUUUGGGUCUACUAAUCUAGAGGCUGUGGGUGGUGGCAGUGUUACUUCCUUUACAAGUCUUACACCUCCUAUAGCUCUGACGCCUAUGGCCGGGUGGGUCAAAUCCCUCAGGCCUUGGGGGGUUGGCCACUUCACUCAUUUAGGCCAGUUGAUAACACAACACAAGAUCCAAUGGAUGCUCGUCGAGCCCAGCUGCAGAUGCUUCAGCAAGCUAGCGAUUUCUGCAUUUUGAUUUAUGAUGUUGCAGGAACUCAAUGAGCGAUUGUGCCUAUCUUGGUGUCCUCGUGUGGCUUUGGGAGCCGAGUGAUAACAACAUUGAUGCAAGGAAAACAAACU